This 253-nucleotide ribosomal RNA is filed under the name uncultured bacterium. Its description in RNAcentral is "partial 16S ribosomal RNA". It matches the Rfam family "Bacterial small subunit ribosomal RNA", at positions 524 to 776 of the family's 1533-position model. The record is from RNAcentral.
GACGUAGGGCGCAAGCGUUGUCCGGAUUUAUUGGGCGUAAAGAGCUCGUAGGCGGCCUGUCGCGUCGACCGUGAAAACCCGCAGCUCAACUGCGGGCUUGCGGUCGAUACGGGCAGGCUGGAGUUCGGUAGGGGAGACUGGAAUUCCUGGUGUAGCGGUGAAAUGCGCAGAUAUCAGGAGGAACACCAGUGGCGAAGGCGGCUCACUGGCCCGAUUCUGACGCUGAGGCGCGAAAGCGUGGGGAGCAAACAGG